CGGUUAAAAAGCUCGUAGUUGGAUUUCUGUUGAGGAUGACCGGUCCGCUCUUUGAGCGCGUAUCUGGUUCAGCCUUGGCAUCCUCUUGGGGAACGCUACUGUGUUUGAUUGCAUGGGGCGGUAUUCAAGACUUUUACUUUGAGGAAAUUAGAGUGUUCACUGCAAGCGUUAGCAAUUGAAUACAUUAGCAUGGAAUAAUAAUAUAGGACCUUGGUACUAUUUUGUUGGUUUCUAGAACUAAGGUAACGAUUAAUAGGGACAAUUGGGGGCAUUCGUAUUAACGCGUCAGAGGUGGAAUUCUUAGAUUGCGUUACGACGAACUACUGCGAAAGCAUUUGCCAAGUAUGUUUUCAUUGAUCAAGAACGAAAGUAUGGGGAUCGAAGACGCUUAGAUACCGUCGUAGUCUAUACCAUAAACUAUGCCAACUAGAGAUUGGAGGUCGUUCUCUUUAUGACUCCUUCAGCACCUUAUGAGAAAUCAAAGUCUUUGGGUUCCGGGGGGGAGUAUGGUCGCAAGGCUGAAACUUAAAGGAAUUGACGGAAGGGCACCACCAGGAGUGGAGCCUGCGGCUUAAUUUGACUCAACACGGGAAAACUUACCAGGUCCAGACAUA
RNAcentral lists this ribosomal RNA (614 nucleotides) under uncultured marine eukaryote. RNAcentral's name for it is "SSU rRNA". It matches the Rfam family "Eukaryotic small subunit ribosomal RNA", at positions 616 to 1232 of the family's 1831-position model. The record is from RNAcentral.